Molecule: ribosomal RNA, 812 nt
Filed under: uncultured Fusobacterium sp.
Lineage: Bacteria; Fusobacteriati; Fusobacteriota; Fusobacteriia; Fusobacteriales; Fusobacteriaceae
Description: bacterial SSU rRNA
Rfam family: Bacterial small subunit ribosomal RNA
Source: RNAcentral
GAACGCUGACAGAAUGCUUACACAUGCAAGUCAACUUGAAUUUGGGUUUUAACUUAGGUUUGGGUGGCGGACGGGUGAGUAACGCGUAAAGAACUUGCCUCACAGCUAGGGACAACAUUUGGAAACGAAUGCUAAUACCUAAUAUUAUGAUAAUAGGGCAUCCUAUAAUUAUGAAAGCUAUAAGCGCUGUGAGAGAGCUUUGCGUCCCAUUAGCUAGUUGGAGAGGUAACGGCUCACCAAGGCGAUGAUGGGUAGCCGGCCUGAGAGGGUGAUCGGCCACAAGGGGACUGAGACACGGCCCUUACUCCUACGGGAGGCAGCAGUGGGGAAUAUUGGACAAUGGACCAAGAGUCUGAUCCAGCAAUUCUGUGUGCACGAUGAAGUUUUUCGGAAUGUAAAGUGCUUUCAGUUGGGAAGAAAGAAAUGACGGUACCAACAGAAGAAGUGACGGCUAAAUACGUGCCAGCAGCCGCGGUAAUACGUAUGUCACGAGCGUUAUCCGGAUUUAUUGGGCGUAAAGCGCGUCUAGGUGGUUAUAUAAGUCUGAUGUGAAAAUGCAGGGCUCAACUCUGUAUUGCGUUGGAAACUGUAUAACUAGAGUACUGGAGAGGUAAGCGGAACUACAAGUGUAGAGGUGAAAUUCGUAGAUAUUUGUAGGAAUGCCGAUGGGGAAGCCAGCUUACUAGACAGAUACUGACGCUGAAGCGCGAAAGCGUGGGUAGCAAACAGGAUUAGAUACCCUGGUAGUCCACGCCGUAAACGAUGAUUACUAGGUGUUGGGGGUCGAACCUCAGCGCCCAAGCAAACGCGAU